Molecule: long non-coding RNA, 680 nt
Filed under: Zostera marina
Lineage: Eukaryota; Viridiplantae; Streptophyta; Magnoliopsida; Alismatales; Zosteraceae
Description: long non-coding RNA (ZMAR_LNC002934)
Source: RNAcentral
CGAAAUUAAUAACUAUUAAGGUUGUUGAUGAUUCAAGAUUUUAGAAUUUCUGUAUUUACAAAAAAAAAAAUUAAAAUCAGAUAUAUUGAUAUAUAAAGGAAAAAUAAAUAAUACUUACAGACAAGCAAACAAAGAGGGAGUUGGUGUUCGCUCUUGAGCGAACGAGCGAGCAAACGAGAAAUAUUUCUGACAGCGAGCGCGCGAAGUGAGGGACUUUAACCAUGAGAGAGGGAAAAUCUGACCGUGAGCAAACAAGUCUGGUGGGUCCUCCGCGUGCAAGCGUUUUGGGUUCUCAACAUGUUAGCGUUUUGGGUUCUCGAUCAGCGUGCUAGCUUUUUGGGUUCUCAGCGUGCGGUUCGUCUGACAGAGGAGCGAGCACCGUUUUGCUCUGAGCGAGUCUGGUGGGUUCUCCGCGAGCACCAGAGUGUCCGCGAGAGAGCGCCGGAGUGUCCGCGAGCGAGCGCCUAAGCGACCGUGGUUCCACGUCUUUGACUGCGAGCGACAGAUCGGUCUCUUUCCACAAACAUCAGACUCCUCAUACAGCUAGCAGAAGAUGGAAAGAAACCUCGUUAUUGGUUAAUGACCUAUAAGUCGAUGAUUAACAUGUCAUAUUCAUUUCAUACAUCUUAUAUGUUUUUAUUGGAACUUGUAAUUUUUUAUCUUAUAUUUUAUUUACAUCG